GACAUUGUGGCACAACGGUAGCGCGUCUGACUCCAGAUCAGAAGGUUCUGUGUUCAAAUCACAUCAAGGUAA
RNAcentral lists this transfer RNA (72 nucleotides) under Danionella translucida. It matches the Rfam family "tRNA". Rfam says of the family: Transfer RNA (tRNA) molecules are approximately 80 nucleotides in length. Their secondary structure includes four short double-helical elements and three loops (D, anti-codon, and T loops). Further hydrogen bonds mediate the characteristic L-shaped molecular structure. tRNAs have two regions of fundamental functional importance: the anti-codon, which is responsible for specific mRNA codon recognition, and the 3' end, to which the tRNAs corresponding amino acid is attached (by aminoacyl-tRNA synthetases). tRNAs cope with the degeneracy of the genetic code in two manners: having more than one tRNA (with a specific anti-codon) for a particular amino acid; and 'wobble' base-pairing, i.e. permitting non-standard base-pairing at the 3rd anti-codon position. The record is from Rfam by way of RNAcentral. RNAcentral also lists the same sequence under 1 other name. Lineage: Eukaryota; Metazoa; Chordata; Actinopteri; Cypriniformes; Danionidae.